UUGUUUUUUGCCUGGAACCCGUGAAGCUGUUUGUUUUGUUUUACUGGUGGUGUGAAUGCGCGCUCUCCCUGUCCAUGCGGCAACCCACGGUGCAAACCACCCGGACCUGCCGCAUCUCCCACCUGGGGGGUGUCACAUGGCAUGUGACAAACCUGGAACUGAUUCUGUUGAGAUGCCAAGAGUUUUUCAGGCGAUGCAACUUUGUGUCAGACAUGGCUGGAUGUAAUCAGACACCCCAACAUAACAGCCGAAGAAGUUCGCAAACAGGGACUAAGGGUAUGAAGUGACCACUCUGAAGGCACCGACUACCAAGGCGACCGUCAGAAGCCUGGAGCUGUAUCCACCGUUUUCCCAUCGUUGGUCGAACCGCUCGAGGUACGCCCACAUCAGACGUCGCACAAUGAUAUGCAUCCUGGAGUUCAACGCUAAACUGCCUGGGUCUACUUCCUGCAUUUGUAAAGGAAAACAACAAAACAGCGUAAAAUAUUAACAUAAUGAAAUAACUGAUCGAAAAGGGCGACACAGUCAUUAGAAGGACAAUAUCAGUCAUGAGAAGCAGAAGUGUUAUAAAGUGCAAUUCCCCUUUAAUGGUUAAUCUCAAUGGGAGAUGAAUGACAGUCACAAACCAGGGCAGGUUAUGAGAACUGAUAAGAAAGGAUCACAGUACAGUAACAAAAAGAGGAGGAGUAGUCUACUAUGCAAACAAAAGCUAAACGUGUGUUUAGUUGUUUGGACUGACCCCUUAAUUCCUUGAAGUGCAUAUUAUCCAAACUCUGGUUACAAUAGGCCAAUGUAGUUAGGAUCACUUGUUCUGCAAAUAAUAACAAAUAUCCUGAACUGUGUCCCUUCCUGUGAUAUAGUACAUGAUUUGAAAUAUGAUUUUGCAACAUGGCCCCUGGUUUGUUCAUCACCGUAGACUGGUUUCUCUCGCUCGCUCUCGGUCAGUUUCACUCACUGUA
Anguilla rostrata (American eel) is the source of this 959-nucleotide long non-coding RNA. RefSeq lists it as uncharacterized. The transcript has 3 exons. Lineage: Eukaryota; Metazoa; Chordata; Actinopteri; Anguilliformes; Anguillidae. The record is from RefSeq and is a predicted model, not a curated record.